This 254-nucleotide ribosomal RNA is filed under the name uncultured bacterium. RNAcentral describes it as "partial 16S ribosomal RNA". It matches the Rfam family "Bacterial small subunit ribosomal RNA", at positions 524 to 776 of the family's 1533-position model. The record is from RNAcentral.
UACGUAGGGUCCGAGCGUUGUCCGGAAUUAUUGGGCGUAAAGGGCUCGUAGGCGGUUUGUUGCGUCGGGAGUGAAAACUUACAGCUUAACUGUGAGCGUGCUUCCGAUACGGGCAGACUUGAGGUAUUCAGGGGGAGAACGGAAUUCCUGGUGUAGCGGUGAAAUGCGCAGAUAUCAGGAGGAACACCGGUGGCGAAGGCGGUUCUCUGGGAAUAUCCUGACGCUGAGGAGCGAAAGUGUGGGGAGCGAACAGG